Molecule: ribosomal RNA, 2923 nt
Filed under: Staphylococcus aureus
Lineage: Bacteria; Bacillati; Bacillota; Bacilli; Caryophanales; Staphylococcaceae
Description: 23S ribosomal RNA
Rfam family: Bacterial large subunit ribosomal RNA
Source: RNAcentral
GAUUAAGUUAUUAAGGGCGCACGGUGGAUGCCUUGGCACUAGAAGCCAAUGAAGGACGUUACUAACGACGAUAUGCUUUGGGGAGCUGUAAGUAAGCUUUGAUCCAGAGAUUUCCGAAUGGGGAAACCCAGCAUGAGUUAUGUCAUGUUAUCGAUAUGUGAAUACAUAGCAUAUCAGAAGGCACACCCGGAGAACUGAAACAUCUUAGUACCCGGAGGAAGAGAAAGAAAAUUCGAUUCCCUUAGUAGCGGCGAGCGAAACGGGAAGAGCCCAAACCAACAAGCUUGCUUGUUGGGGUUGUAGGACACUCUAUACGGAGUUACAAAGGACGACAUUAGACGAAUCAUCUGGAAAGAUGAAUCAAAGAAGGUAAUAAUCCUGUAGUCGAAAAUGUUGUCUCUCUUGAGUGGAUCCUGAGUACGACGGAGCACGUGAAAUUCCGUCGGAAUCUGGGAGGACCAUCUCCUAAGGCUAAAUACUCUCUAGUGACCGAUAGUGAACCAGUACCGUGAGGGAAAGGUGAAAAGCACCCCGGAAGGGGAGUGAAAUAGAACCUGAAACCGUGUGCUUACAAGUAGUCAGAGCCCGUUAAUGGGUGAUGGCGUGCCUUUUGUAGAAUGAACCGGCGAGUUACGAUUUGAUGCAAGGUUAAGCAGUAAAUGUGGAGCCGUAGCGAAAGCGAGUCUGAAUAGGGCGUUUAGUAUUUGGUCGUAGACCCGAAACCAGGUGAUCUACCCUUGGUCAGGUUGAAGUUCAGGUAACACUGAAUGGAGGACCGAACCGACUUACGUUGAAAAGUGAGCGGAUGAACUGAGGGUAGCGGAGAAAUUCCAAUCGAACCUGGAGAUAGCUGGUUCUCUCCGAAAUAGCUUUAGGGCUAGCCUCAAGUGAUGAUUAUUGGAGGUAGAGCACUGUUUGGACGAGGGGCCCCUCUCGGGUUACCGAAUUCAGACAAACUCCGAAUGCCAAUUAAUUUAACUUGGGAGUCAGAACAUGGGUGAUAAGGUCCGUGUUCGAAAGGGAAACAGCCCAGACCACCAGCUAAGGUCCCAAAAUAUAUGUUAAGUGGAAAAGGAUGUGGCGUUGCCCAGACAACUAGGAUGUUGGCUUAGAAGCAGCCAUCAUUUAAAGAGUGCGUAAUAGCUCACUAGUCGAGUGACACUGCGCCGAAAAUGUACCGGGGCUAAACAUAUUACCGAAGCUGUGGAUUGUCCUUUGGACAAUGGUAGGAGAGCGUUCUAAGGGCGUUGAAGCAUGAUCGUAAGGACAUGUGGAGCGCUUAGAAGUGAGAAUGCCGGUGUGAGUAGCGAAAGACGGGUGAGAAUCCCGUCCACCGAUUGACUAAGGUUUCCAGAGGAAGGCUCGUCCGCUCUGGGUUAGUCGGGUCCUAAGCUGAGGCCGACAGGCGUAGGCGAUGGAUAACAGGUUGAUAUUCCUGUACCACCUAUAAUCGUUUUAAUCGAUGGGGGGACGCAGUAGGAUAGGCGAAGCGUGCGAUUGGAUUGCACGUCUAAGCAGUAAGGCUGAGUAUUAGGCAAAUCCGGUACUCGUUAAGGCUGAGCUGUGAUGGGGAGAAGACAUUGUGUCUUCGAGUCGUUGAUUUCACACUGCCGAGAAAAGCCUCUAGAUAGAAAAUAGGUGCCCGUACCGCAAACCGACACAGGUAGUCAAGAUGAGAAUUCUAAGGUGAGCGAGCGAACUCUCGUUAAGGAACUCGGCAAAAUGACCCCGUAACUUCGGGAGAAGGGGUGCUCUUUAGGGUUAACGCCCAGAAGAGCCGCAGUGAAUAGGCCCAAGCGACUGUUUAUCAAAAACACAGGUCUCUGCUAAACCGUAAGGUGAUGUAUAGGGGCUGACGCCUGCCCGGUGCUGGAAGGUUAAGAGGAGUGGUUAGCUUCUGCGAAGCUACGAAUCGAAGCCCCAGUAAACGGCGGCCGUAACUAUAACGGUCCUAAGGUAGCGAAAUUCCUCGUCGGGUAAGUUCCGACCCGCACGAAAGGCGUAACGAUUUGGGCACUGUCUCAACGAGAGACUCGGUGAAAUCAUAGUACCUGUGAAGAUGCAGGUUACCCGCGACAGGACGGAAAGACCCCGUGGAGCUUUACUGUAGCCUGAUAUUGAAAUUCGGCACAGCUUGUACAGGAUAGGUAGGAGCCUUUGAAACGUGAGCGCUAGCUUACGUGGAGGCGCUGGUGGGAUACUACCCUAGCUGUGUUGGCUUUCUAACCCGCACCACUUAUCGUGGUGGGAGACAGUGUCAGGCGGGCAGUUUGACUGGGGCGGUCGCCUCCUAAAAGGUAACGGAGGCGCUCAAAGGUUCCCUCAGAAUGGUUGGAAAUCAUUCAUAGAGUGUAAAGGCAUAAGGGAGCUUGACUGCGAGACCUACAAGUCGAGCAGGGUCGAAAGACGGACUUAGUGAUCCGGUGGUUCCGCAUGGAAGGGCCAUCGCUCAACGGAUAAAAGCUACCCCGGGGAUAACAGGCUUAUCUCCCCCAAGAGUUCACAUCGACGGGGAGGUUUGGCACCUCGAUGUCGGCUCAUCGCAUCCUGGGGCUGUAGUCGGUCCCAAGGGUUGGGCUGUUCGCCCAUUAAAGCGGUACGCGAGCUGGGUUCAGAACGUCGUGAGACAGUUCGGUCCCUAUCCGUCGUGGGCGUAGGAAAUUUGAGAGGAGCUGUCCUUAGUACGAGAGGACCGGGAUGGACAUACCUCUGGUGUACCAGUUGUCGUGCCAACGGCAUAGCUGGGUAGCUAUGUGUGGACGGGAUAAGUGCUGAAAGCAUCUAAGCAUGAAGCCCCCCUCAAGAUGAGAUUUCCCAACUUCGGUUAUAAGAUCCCUCAAAGAUGAUGAGGUUAAUAGGUUCGAGGUGGAAGCAUGGUGACAUGUGGAGCUGACGAAUACUAAUCGAUCGAAGACUUAAUCAA